GGAAGCUGUGAAAGCGCAAGGUUCUCCUGCUGCCCUAAGAGUGAGCGGGGCUGCAGCCGGGGCUUGGUGCUCAGUCUCAGCAUCACCUUGGCAGAGGUGGGUUGCAGGCUGUAAAGGGGAUGGGGAUGGCACAAUGCUCAAAAAAAUCUGUGAUCUGUCCAGCCUCAGAGAUGCCUCAGGCCAGUUUUUAGGGCACAUCAUUCUUUUCCGCUCUGUGGCAUACAGGGACUAGGAUCUUUGCUCCUGGCCUAACAAACUUAGCUUUACGGUUGGCCCCAAGGACGUGGUCAGCUAGCAUAGCCUGCAGAAGCAUCUGCAGGAAAGAUUUAAACACUUCCACUCUUUUAGUUGUACUGACAGGAAAUUUUUACCUACCAAGCUGUGGGAAAGGAGAGGUCUUGGGUACAAACUUACCCUCUCUGUCUAGCAAAGUCAGUGACUUUCAAGAUCUAAAUUAAAUGAAGGAAAUAGGUGUUGAAUAUUUAUGGUUGGCAAAAAUAAAAAGGCCUUGUCAAACUGUGGUAAACAAAAGAAACACCUUUGCAUCUGCGGAUUUUAUCUGAGAAUUUAAAUGAGGAUUCUCCAUCUUAAAUGCCCUUUUACACCCAGGAGUUGACAGGUGAUACUAAAAGAUAAUUGCAACAGGCUUCUGGCAAUAGAAGCUUUUAAUCUAAUCCGAUGUUAAAUGUAGAAGUCUAUCUCUAAUGUCUCUGCCUGGAGUCUUACAUAUUUCCUGUGCCCACUGUUCUCACUUAAGUAUAGUAGUAGGACUGAAUGAACCAUCCAGCAAAUGUUGCAUUACUGCUGACCAGAACUCCAUUGUUUCCUUUUCACCCAAGUAAGUUUCCCUGAAAAAAAUUUUCCCCAUUCGUUUUCUGGAAUUUCAGGUCAUGCUUUUCUUAGCCAUUUUUUCUGCGUGGGUUGACUCUGCUUGCUUGUCACUGCAUAAAAGCAAAUGUGCUUAUAUCCCUUUUAUCAGGGAGCGUUUAAUCUUUACUCUUCAUGGAUUAAAACCCCCAUAUUUUAAAUCCUGAACUUUUAAGAAGAUGCCUGUGUGUGUUUGGAAAGGAAGGUGAACAUUGGGAGAUACUAGAAGGCUGUAAUCUGCGUGAGGCAAUUGGUUAAAGGGUUAUCUCAUCCUUUGGUCCAUGCUGGCUAACCAUUUCCAGCUGAAGUGUGCUGGGUAGCUCUUACCAGAGGCUGGACAAACACAGGGAUGGAUGCACAGAGCACCUUGGAGGACAGCAGGCUAUGUAAGCUUUUUCUCCCUCUUGGGUAGCAUAAGAGUGAUUUGGUUAUUUGCAGCACAGAAGCAGAGCUGCUUGGGCCCAGUGGGCAUAAAACCAAGGAGACAACAGAAAAUCUGGCUUUUUCUUAGGACAACUUAGGCACAAAACUAAAUGUCUUCAUGUGGAAAACACAAGAUGAUGUGAAGAAACACCCUGAGCAAAUCAGACAUGGCAGCUGCCCGACAGACCAAGGCAAGAGUAUAUUCUCUACAUGCCUCCACCUACACACCUAGAGCACAACCAAACAUCUUCCCCAUCUAUUUCAGAAAAGAACAAGACAGAAAAACAACCGGUAAUAUAUCUGACUGUAUUUCAAAGUUGUUGAUUGUAAACAAACUUUGUUGAAGAAAUAAAAUCACAUGACAAGA
This is a long non-coding RNA of Myiozetetes cayanensis, 1657 nucleotides long. RefSeq lists it as uncharacterized. Lineage: Eukaryota; Metazoa; Chordata; Aves; Passeriformes; Tyrannidae. The record is from RefSeq and is a predicted model, not a curated record. The transcript has 5 exons.